UAAGGGGAAUCCCUGAAUAUAUUCUCCAGCAAAGAAGGCAGGGCUGCUGGGGCUGCUCAAGAAGAGAGCCGGCAGCCUCCUACAGCACCACUACAGGCACUGAGAGGACAUAACAUCAGAGAGCGGCUCCUCUGCCCUCCAAAACAACAACUUUCCUACCAUCUUGGAGGAAAUACAAAGGCAUGUGGCUGAAGAAAUAUUUUUCUUUAUAACCUGUUAAGAUCAGCUUUCUGGAGAAAAAAAAUUAAAGGAGGCAUUGUAAAUAAAAUGGAAUGUACAG
Apus apus (common swift) is the source of this 280-nucleotide long non-coding RNA. RefSeq lists it as uncharacterized. Lineage: Eukaryota; Metazoa; Chordata; Aves; Apodiformes; Apodidae. The transcript is spliced from 3 exons. The record is from RefSeq and is a predicted model, not a curated record.